This 252-nucleotide ribosomal RNA is filed under the name uncultured bacterium. RNAcentral describes it as "partial 16S ribosomal RNA". It matches the Rfam family "Bacterial small subunit ribosomal RNA", at positions 524 to 776 of the family's 1533-position model. The record is from RNAcentral.
UACGGAGGGGCUAGCGUUGUUCGGAAUUACUGGGCGUAAAGCGUGCGCAGGCGGCUUCUCAAGUCAGGGGUGAAAUCCUGGAGCUCAACUCCAGAACUGCCUUCGAAACUGGCGAUCUUGAGUCCGGGAGAGGUGAGUGGAACUGCGAGUGUAGAGGUGAAAUUCGUAGAUAUUCGCAAGAACACCAGUGGCGAAGGCGGCUCACUGGCCCGGUACUGACGCUGAGGUGCGAAAGCGUGGGGAGCGAACGAG